Molecule: long non-coding RNA, 1442 nt
Filed under: Corvus moneduloides (New Caledonian crow)
Lineage: Eukaryota; Metazoa; Chordata; Aves; Passeriformes; Corvidae
Description: lncRNA (ENSCMUG00000017849.1)
Source: RNAcentral
UGUAGAUUAGACAGCGCUUUGUUCCUGAGGACAAAAGUCCACCUCCACUAACGACUCACAAAGCUCUUGGAACAGGAUAACCUCAGGGAUUUGAUUAAGGAGAAGCUCUUAAUGCACCAAAGUCUAAGUUAAACAAAGCCAAAAACUCGCUCAGGAGGUUCCUCAGCCACAGCUUGUCUACGAGCAGUUUGCUUUGCCAUGCAGGGACAAGGAGAAGCAGCUUUGAAGAGUGAGAGGUUUAUCUGGUUCUUGGGAUGAAAGGAGACUGUGUGGUUGCAUCCAUUGAAAACCAAACUCGCACUGGCUUGGAAGUCAGAUUUUCUGUCAAAGGAUGCUCAGGGAAAUGAUCACAGAUCAUGAAAGUGCAUUGGAGUAUCUGAACUCCUGUGUGGAUGCCCUUAUUCAGAAUUAAAGCACCUCAUUCCAGCUGGCUUGCUUCAUUCUGAAAGCAAAAUGCAAUAAAUUGAAUUACUUACUUUCAAUCUAAAGAAUUUUAUUUAAUUUUCCUUUUGUUUACAGUACGGACAAGCACAAGCUGGCCUGGACAAGCGGAAAGGACAAGCUCAUAGCCUGAGGUGCUGUGUUCCCUCAAGUUCUGUAAACUGAAUUAAAUUACCGUCCAACUGAGAACCUGAAAACACACAAACAGCAAAAAAAUCGUUUUUACUUACCUGAUUCUAAGGAGAUGCAAUUAAUCAGAAAUACCUUCGUGUGUCGCAAGAUGGGAAUGCAUUUUCCAGGAAGUUUUAAGCAGCACAUUAAUAGCAUCGAAUUUCAUGGCCAUGUCAAUCAAGACAAGUAGCCCAUGUUCCCCUCUUGGCACUUUCCUGCAUACAAUUGCCACUCAAUUACCACCAGCCAUUAAUCAAGAGCACAUUUUCAUGCAAAAAGCCGGUGGCUGAGGGCUGUUAUUUCUUUCUGUUGCCUUGUGACUUCAAUGCUUCACAGCCGAUUCUGUUAAUGAAUGGCACUCGAUGGAAAUAACACCGGGCUCUGCCCUUUUGCCUUGGUGGCUGAAAGUCGGAGCCGGAGAAGAGUGGAGGUCAAAAAAAGGGAGAUCCUGGAGGCAGAAGAGUUGUUUACGUGGCAAGACACAGGUUUGGCUCCAGACUGCCCAAGAGAAGCCAGGAGAUCUCAGCUCAGCUCCUGGUAGCUCACUGGCCCACCACAAACUGUGCCAAAGGUCUUUGCACGAGCGAGGCCCAGAACCCCAUGGAACCAAACUAGUGUGGAGGUGGGGUGCCUGUGCCCCCCAAGUACCAUCACCAACAAGCCAGAGUGGGAGAACAAGCAGAGAAGCUGCUUGAGCCCCUUGACCAGCUGAUUGCACAGCUUUAGGCCACGGAUUCACCCUUCAAACCCAUCACCAACACAACCAUCCGUUCUGCAGAGAUCAAAGAGCGUCUUGGCUACCGCAAACCCCAGUAAACGUGGGCCUGCAG